CCUACGGGUGGCUGCAGUGGGGAAUAUUGGACAAUGGGGGCAACCCUGAUCCAGCCAUGCCGCGUGUGUGAAGAGGCCCUCGGGUUGUAAAGCACUUUCAGUGAGGAAGAACGCCUGGUGGUUAAUACCCAUCAGGAAAGACAUCACUCACAGAAGAAGCACCGGCUAACUCCGUGCCAGCAGCCGCGGUAAUACGGAGGGUGCGAGCGUUAAUCGGAAUUACUGGGCGUAAAGCGCGCGUAGGUGGCUUGAUAAGCCGGUUGUGAAAGCCCCGGGCUCAACCUGGGAACGGCAUCCGGAACUGUCAAGCUAGGGUGCAGGAGAGGAAGGUAGAAUUCCCGGUGUAGCGGUGAAAUGCGUAGAGAUCGGGAGGAAUACCAGUGGCGAAGGCGGCCUUCUGGACUGACACUGACACUGAGGUGCGAAAGCGUGGGUAGCAAACAGGAUUAGAUACCCCAGUAGUC
Molecule: ribosomal RNA, 464 nt
Filed under: Vreelandella stevensii
Lineage: Bacteria; Pseudomonadati; Pseudomonadota; Gammaproteobacteria; Oceanospirillales; Halomonadaceae
Description: partial 16S ribosomal RNA
Rfam family: Bacterial small subunit ribosomal RNA
Source: RNAcentral